GCGAACGGGUGAGUAACACGUGAGUAACCUGCCCUUGACUCUGGGAUAAGCCCGGGAAACUGGGUCUAAUACCGGAUAGGAACGCCUAUCGCAUGAUGGGUGUUGGAAAGAUUUUUCGGUCAUGGAUGGACUCGCGGCCUAUCAGCUUGUUGGUGAGGUAAUGGCUCACCAAGGCGACGACGGGUAGCCGGCCUGAGAGGGUGACCGGCCACACUGGGACUGAGACACGGCCCAGACUCCUACGGGAGGCAGCAGUGGGGAAUAUUGCACAAUGGGCGAAAGCCUGAUGCAGCGACGCCGCGUGAGGGAUGACGGCCUUCGGGUUGUAAACCUCUUUCAGUAGGGAAGAAGCGAAAGUGACGGUACCUGCAGAAGAAGCACCGGCUAACUACGUGCCAGCAGCCGCGGUAAUACGUAGGGUGCGAGCGUUAUCCGGAAUUAUUGGGCGUAAAGAGCUCGUAGGCGGUUUGUCACGUCUGUCGUGAAAGUCCGGGGCUUAACCCCGGAUCUGCGGUGGGUACGGGCAGACUAGAGUGCAGUAGGGGAGACUGGAAUUCCUGGUGUAGCGGUGGAAUGCGCAGAUAUCAUGAGGAACACCGAUGGCGAAGGCAGGUCUCUGGGCUGUAACUGACGCUGAGGAGCGAAAGCA
This 649-nucleotide ribosomal RNA is filed under the name Micrococcus flavus. RNAcentral describes it as "bacterial SSU rRNA". It matches the Rfam family "Bacterial small subunit ribosomal RNA", at positions 98 to 761 of the family's 1533-position model. The record is from RNAcentral. Lineage: Bacteria; Bacillati; Actinomycetota; Actinomycetes; Micrococcales; Micrococcaceae.